This 361-nucleotide ribosomal RNA is filed under the name uncultured bacterium. RNAcentral describes it as "bacterial SSU rRNA". It matches the Rfam family "Bacterial small subunit ribosomal RNA", at positions 29 to 418 of the family's 1533-position model. The record is from RNAcentral.
AACGAACGCUGGCGGCAGGCCUAACACAUGCAAGUCGAACGCUCUAGCAAGUAGAGAGUGGCAGACGGGUGAGUAACGCGUGGGAACCUUCCCUGUGGUGCGGAAUAACUCGCCGAAAGGCGUGCUAAUACCGCAUAAGCCCGCAAGGGGAAAGAUUUAUCGCCAUAGGAUGGGCCCGCGUAGGAUUAGCUAGUUGGUGAGGUAAUGGCUCACCAAGGCGACGAUCCAGCUGGUUUGAGAGAAUGACCAGCCACACUGGGACUGAGACACGGCCCAGACUCCUACGGGAGGCAGCAGUGGGGAAUCUUGGACAAUGGGCGCAAGCCUGAUCCAGCCAUGCCGCGUGAGUGACGAAGGCCUU